This 2903-nucleotide ribosomal RNA is filed under the name Escherichia coli. RNAcentral describes it as "23S ribosomal RNA". It matches the Rfam family "Bacterial large subunit ribosomal RNA". The record is from RNAcentral. Lineage: Bacteria; Pseudomonadati; Pseudomonadota; Gammaproteobacteria; Enterobacterales; Enterobacteriaceae.
GGUUAAGCGACUAAGCGUACACGGUGGAUGCCCUGGCAGUCAGAGGCGAUGAAGGACGUGCUAAUCUGCGAUAAGCGUCGGUAAGGUGAUAUGAACCGUUAUAACCGGCGAUUUCCGAAUGGGGAAACCCAGUGUGUUUCGACACACUAUCAUUAACUGAAUCCAUAGGUUAAUGAGGCGAACCGGGGGAACUGAAACAUCUAAGUACCCCGAGGAAAAGAAAUCAACCGAGAUUCCCCCAGUAGCGGCGAGCGAACGGGGAGGAGCCCAGAGCCUGAAUCAGUGUGUGUGUUAGUGGAAGCGUCUGGAAAGGCGCGCGAUACAGGGUGACAGCCCCGUACACAAAAAUGCACAUGCUGUGAGCUCGAUGAGUAGGGCGGGACACGUGGUAUCCUGUCUGAAUAUGGGGGGACCAUCCUCCAAGGCUAAAUACUCCUGACUGACCGAUAGUGAACCAGUACCGUGAGGGAAAGGCGAAAAGAACCCCGGCGAGGGGAGUGAAAAAGAACCUGAAACCGUGUACGUACAAGCAGUGGGAGCCUCUUUUAUGGGGUGACUGCGUACCUUUUGUAUAAUGGGUCAGCGACUUAUAUUCUGUAGCAAGGUUAACCGAAUAGGGGAGCCGAAGGGAAACCGAGUCUUAACUGGGCGUUAAGUUGCAGGGUAUAGACCCGAAACCCGGUGAUCUAGCCAUGGGCAGGUUGAAGGUUGGGUAACACUAACUGGAGGACCGAACCGACUAAUGUUGAAAAAUUAGCGGAUGACUUGUGGCUGGGGGUGAAAGGCCAAUCAAACCGGGAGAUAGCUGGUUCUCCCCGAAAGCUAUUUAGGUAGCGCCUCGUGAAUUCAUCUCCGGGGGUAGAGCACUGUUUCGGCAAGGGGGUCAUCCCGACUUACCAACCCGAUGCAAACUGCGAAUACCGGAGAAUGUUAUCACGGGAGACACACGGCGGGUGCUAACGUCCGUCGUGAAGAGGGAAACAACCCAGACCGCCAGCUAAGGUCCCAAAGUCAUGGUUAAGUGGGAAACGAUGUGGGAAGGCCCAGACAGCCAGGAUGUUGGCUUAGAAGCAGCCAUCAUUUAAAGAAAGCGUAAUAGCUCACUGGUCGAGUCGGCCUGCGCGGAAGAUGUAACGGGGCUAAACCAUGCACCGAAGCUGCGGCAGCGACACUAUGUGUUGUUGGGUAGGGGAGCGUUCUGUAAGCCUGUGAAGGUGUGCUGUGAGGCAUGCUGGAGGUAUCAGAAGUGCGAAUGCUGACAUAAGUAACGAUAAAGCGGGUGAAAAGCCCGCUCGCCGGAAGACCAAGGGUUCCUGUCCAACGUUAAUCGGGGCAGGGUGAGUCGACCCCUAAGGCGAGGCCGAAAGGCGUAGUCGAUGGGAAACAGGUUAAUAUUCCUGUACUUGGUGUUACUGCGAAGGGGGGACGGAGAAGGCUAUGUUGGCCGGGCGACGGUUGUCCCGGUUUAAGCGUGUAGGCUGGUUUUCCAGGCAAAUCCGGAAAAUCAAGGCUGAGGCGUGAUGACGAGGCACUACGGUGCUGAAGCAACAAAUGCCCUGCUUCCAGGAAAAGCCUCUAAGCAUCAGGUAACAUCAAAUCGUACCCCAAACCGACACAGGUGGUCAGGUAGAGAAUACCAAGGCGCUUGAGAGAACUCGGGUGAAGGAACUAGGCAAAAUGGUGCCGUAACUUCGGGAGAAGGCACGCUGAUAUGUAGGUGAAGUCCCUCGCGGAUGGAGCUGAAAUCAGUCGAAGAUACCAGCUGGCUGCAACUGUUUAUUAAAAACACAGCACUGUGCAAACACGAAAGUGGACGUAUACGGUGUGACGCCUGCCCGGUGCCGGAAGGUUAAUUGAUGGGGUCAGCGCAAGCGAAGCUCUUGAUCGAAGCCCCGGUAAACGGCGGCCGUAACUAUAACGGUCCUAAGGUAGCGAAAUUCCUUGUCGGGUAAGUUCCGACCUGCACGAAUGGCGUAAUGAUGGCCAGGCUGUCUCCACCCGAGACUCAGUGAAAUUGAACUCGCUGUGAAGAUGCAGUGUACCCGCGGCAAGACGGAAAGACCCCGUGAACCUUUACUAUAGCUUGACACUGAACAUUGAGCCUUGAUGUGUAGGAUAGGUGGGAGGCUUUGAAGUGUGGACGCCAGUCUGCAUGGAGCCGACCUUGAAAUACCACCCUUUAAUGUUUGAUGUUCUAACGUUGACCCGUAAUCCGGGUUGCGGACAGUGUCUGGUGGGUAGUUUGACUGGGGCGGUCUCCUCCUAAAGAGUAACGGAGGAGCACGAAGGUUGGCUAAUCCUGGUCGGACAUCAGGAGGUUAGUGCAAUGGCAUAAGCCAGCUUGACUGCGAGCGUGACGGCGCGAGCAGGUGCGAAAGCAGGUCAUAGUGAUCCGGUGGUUCUGAAUGGAAGGGCCAUCGCUCAACGGAUAAAAGGUACUCCGGGGAUAACAGGCUGAUACCGCCCAAGAGUUCAUAUCGACGGCGGUGUUUGGCACCUCGAUGUCGGCUCAUCACAUCCUGGGGCUGAAGUAGGUCCCAAGGGUAUGGCUGUUCGCCAUUUAAAGUGGUACGCGAGCUGGGUUUAGAACGUCGUGAGACAGUUCGGUCCCUAUCUGCCGUGGGCGCUGGAGAACUGAGGGGGGCUGCUCCUAGUACGAGAGGACCGGAGUGGACGCAUCACUGGUGUUCGGGUUGUCAUGCCAAUGGCACUGCCCGGUAGCUAAAUGCGGAAGAGAUAAGUGCUGAAAGCAUCUAAGCACGAAACUUGCCCCGAGAUGAGUUCUCCCUGACUCCUUGAGAGUCCUGAAGGAACGUUGAAGACGACGACGUUGAUAGGCCGGGUGUGUAAGCGCAGCGAUGCGUUGAGCUAACCGGUACUAAUGAACCGUGAGGCUUAACCUU